CAACCUUGAAGAUAAUAUUGAUUUAGCAGAAGAUUUCUUGAAAUAUGUCAUCCAGUAUGUUUUGGAUC
RNAcentral lists this small nucleolar RNA (68 nucleotides) under Chryseobacterium daecheongense. RNAcentral describes it as "Small nucleolar RNA CD11". Lineage: Bacteria; Pseudomonadati; Bacteroidota; Flavobacteriia; Flavobacteriales; Weeksellaceae. The record is from RNAcentral.